Lynx canadensis (Canada lynx) is the source of this 1103-nucleotide long non-coding RNA. RefSeq lists it as uncharacterized. The record is from RefSeq and is a predicted model, not a curated record. Lineage: Eukaryota; Metazoa; Chordata; Mammalia; Carnivora; Felidae. The transcript has 3 exons.
CUGCGUGACUUGAGUUCACAGGUGUGCCUCCACCCACGACCUCGCUGAGCGGCGAGCCCGUCCUCUUGGACCGUAGCGUCCACAGCCACAGCCAGUCUCCACCCCAAGUCCUGCGGUGCUCAGAGGAGCCACGGAGAAUACCAAGGACGAGACGCGGUUCUUCCUCACAGAGCUUCCUUUAAGUCUGUUUGAGAAGGAGAAGGCCUAGAAAGGUCACGAAGGCCUAGAACACCGCGGGGCGGUGGACGAUCCAGCACGCUAUGGGUUUUGGAAGGGAAGCACGCGGAAGCACGGAGGAGAAUCGCGUAGCCCAGACUCGCAGGGCCGAGAGUGACUUCUGGGAAGAAGCAACGGGCCGGCCAAGACCCGAAAGAGGAAGCAUCAGCCUGGGGUGCAGAGAGGAACACGCGGGAAGGUGUGCCGUGCGAUGGAGCAGAGGCAGAGGGGCGCGAAGGCCGCCAGCGUAGUGUGUGCGAGCCAACAGCGCGGGAGGACCGAGGACGAUGGGAAACCGUGAAGGGGGGUAAGCGUGGAGAUGACCCCAGGAGGCUGGUGGUUCACCCCUUUCCUGGGCAGCCCCAGGCUGCGACAGCGAGGAGAGAGCUGUCCGAGGAUUCCGAGGAUUCAGGCAGAUGUGGCGAAACAGUGACUUCUGUCCUUCUGCCCCUCGUGGACCAAGAAGGUUUCCAAGAGAUGCCGUGAGCAGUAGGAGCCAUCAAUCGAGGACCGACUGCGGUGCCUUCGACGGGAGCCGGCAGCUGCCAGCUCUGGACCCGAGCAGAAAGCACAGGACGUGCAUGAGCAAACACCCCCCUCCUGUGGCCGAGAGAGGUAUUGCCUUCGUCCUGUCUUGGUUCCCACCCUGAAAGGCAGGUAAGGUGAAGUCCCGGAGGCAGGUAGCUGGGGCCCCCAGGAGGUUCCCAGCCUGUUUUUUGCCCUUUUUUUUAGAGAAAUCUGAAUACUGGACAAAAUGUGUAUGGAGGCUUAGAAACAAAUGCUGCAAGGACAGUCAAUGUUACAGAUGACUAAUUUUCUUCUUUUCUUCAUUUUGUUCAGAUGUAUUUAACAUUUUCUGUCACAGGGGCGCCUGGGUGGCUGUCGGU